This 497-nucleotide ribosomal RNA is filed under the name uncultured bacterium. RNAcentral's name for it is "partial 16S ribosomal RNA". It matches the Rfam family "Bacterial small subunit ribosomal RNA", at positions 28 to 507 of the family's 1533-position model. The record is from RNAcentral.
GAUGAACGCUGGCGGCGUGCCUAAUACAUGCAAGUCGAGCGAACAGACGAGGCGCUCGCUCCUCUGCCGUUAGCGGCGGACGGGUGAGUCAUACGUGGAUGACCCAUCUAUAAGAAUGGGAUAACUACGGGAAACCGGAGCUAAUACCCGACAAUAUAUUGAAACGCAGGGUUCAAUAGUGAAAGACGGCUCUGCUGAGACUUCUACAGGGACCCGAGCCGCAUUAGUUAGUUGGUAACGUAAAGUCUUACCAAGGCGACGAUGCGUAGCCGACCUGAGAGGGUGAUCAGCCACACGGGAACUGAGAAACGGUCCAAACUCCUAGGGGAGGCAGCAGUUGGGAAUCUUAGGCAAUAGGCGAAAGCCUGACCGAGCAACGCCGCGUGGGUGAUGAAGGUGUUCGGAUCGUAAAGCCCUGUUAUUGGGGAAGAACAGAAGUGUAAGUAUCAAUUCACGUCUUGACGGUACCUGAAGAGAAAGCCACGGCUAACUACGUG